RNAcentral lists this ribosomal RNA (423 nucleotides) under uncultured bacterium. RNAcentral's name for it is "partial 16S ribosomal RNA". It matches the Rfam family "Bacterial small subunit ribosomal RNA", at positions 360 to 774 of the family's 1533-position model. The record is from RNAcentral.
AAUCUUCCGCAAUGGACGCAAGUCUGACGGAGCAACUCCGCGUGAGUGAUGAAGGUAUUCGGACCGUAAACCUCUGUUGUUAGGUAAGAACAUGUAUCGGAGUCACUGCCGGUACCUUCACGGUACCUGACGCCAAAGCCACGGCUAACUAAGUGCCUGCAACCGCGGUAAUACGUAGGUGGCAAGCGUUGUCCGGAUUUAUUGGGCGUAAAGCGCGCGGAGGCGGUCUUUAUAAGUCUGAUGUGAAAUCUUACGGCUUAACUGUAAGCGGUCAUUGGAAACUGGGAGACUUGAGUGCAGAAGAGGAGAGUGGAAUUCCAUGUGUAGCGGUGAAAUGCGUAGAGAUAUGGAGGAACACCAGUGGCGAAGGCGACUCUCUGGUCUGUAACUGACGCUGAGGCGCGAAAGCGUGGGGAUCAAACA